Molecule: long non-coding RNA, 1037 nt
Organism: Anastrepha obliqua
Lineage: Eukaryota; Metazoa; Arthropoda; Insecta; Diptera; Tephritidae
Exons: 6
Source: RefSeq, a predicted model, not a curated record
GUUGGUGAUGGUCGAAAAAAAUCAAUACAGCCAAUGCCCAUGCUAUGGUAGCGAUUUGUUUACGAAUACGGUGAAUACAAAUGUGCGAACGUGCGUUAUUCCUUUGUGCGUUAUUUCAGGCUUUUCGAAUAGCUGAUUUCUAAGGAGAGGUACUGCGCCCAAAUACUUUACGGUUGCUCCUCAGGUUCCAGAGAAUAGAGAAGAGAAGAUUUACUUCAUUUAAAGUCAUCAAAUCUAAAAAAAAAAUAUUAAACCCAUGCAGCUUUAAAUGUGGAUUGCAGAUGUGCUAAUUGGGGAGGAACCUCGCAAAUAUGCCUCAACAUCAUCAUGGCGGGAGUGUUUUUAUUCCGACAGCAACUUGCGGGAAGUGGAGGAAUUGAAAUCGAAAACUUAAGUUAUUUCUAUAUGAAAGAGAAUAGAAAGAAAAGCAGAGAUCUGGUGGCAUUCCAACGAGACGAAGCAUGCUUGGGGAUAGAAUCUCUUGAAAAGCGCAUUUCUGUGAUCAAAGUAGAAAUUGGGAGCAUAGAAUGGAAAUUGCGCUUGAUUUUUGCAGAAGAUGACUGAUAUGGUGAGAACCAUGGAUGUGAAUUGGAAACACAAUUUGCUGCCGUUCCAUUAAGAUCAUUAGGAAUUAAAAUACCGGUUAAGGAUAUAUUUACUGUGAAGAAAUGAGAGCGCAUUAUAUAACUCUGCAAAUGUAGAAAUAGAUGACACACUUAAUUUGGAAAUCUCACAACUACCACUUAAAGGGCGAGAAUGUUGUUUACCAUCAAAAAUUAAUGAAAUUUCCCACAAAAAAAGUGUCCUAGGCCACGAUGUACAAAUGACAUAUGUAUAUUUAUACCAUACAUUCGCAUCGAUUGACAAGACAAACUACAAACACCAGAAUCGUAUUAAACUACAAGGUGUAAGUAUAUAGCUCCAUACCUUAUAAAGCGCUAGCAAGCAUCAGGGGAUAAAAGUACAUUCGAAUUUAUGCUGCAUAGGGGGAGCGAUUCUGAAACAAACAAUAUUCUAGAAAUCGUCAACAUUUGAUU